Molecule: long non-coding RNA, 385 nt
Filed under: Bos taurus (domestic cattle)
Lineage: Eukaryota; Metazoa; Chordata; Mammalia; Artiodactyla; Bovidae
Description: long non-coding RNA NONBTAT015894
Source: RNAcentral
UGAUAUUUCAGUGCACUCCACAACACAAGAUUUGACUUACAUUUAUUGUGCAUUCUGUAUUCAAAAAAAGAUUAAUAAACAUGAUUACACAUUUUCCCUUAACUUUUUCUCUUUAGGUACCUAAUCUGUUUGGAAUCUCAAUGAUUUUUUAAAAAUAGAAUAUCUUAUUAAAAUAUCUGAAAGCUAUAUACAGGUGCUAUAAAAUCCUUAAAAUUGCAGAAAAAUGAGCAGUAUUGACCAAAGAAAACAUCAGUGAUAUUUCUUUUAUUAUUUUCCUAUGAUUAACUCUUUAUAAAUUUUGUCAUGCCUUUUUUGCACAAAAUUAUCUUGAUAAUUUUCUCUUUAAAAGGAAACAUUACUAAGUGGAAAUUAAAUGCUAGGUAGG